Molecule: long non-coding RNA, 1831 nt
Filed under: Bos mutus (wild yak)
Lineage: Eukaryota; Metazoa; Chordata; Mammalia; Artiodactyla; Bovidae
Description: lncRNA (ENSBMUG00000015320.1)
Source: RNAcentral
UGGAAAUGCAGUACUAAAAUACAGAUGAAAUGAUAUGAAAUCUGGAAUUUAUUUCUAAAUAAUCUUAUGUAGAAAUAAGAAAAAGUAAGUGUUGGAAACAGGGUUGAACAUUAGUAAUGAGUAUAUGGUGGUUCAUUUUAUUAUUCUUUUUUUUAUGUUUUACUUUUUGCAAGGUAUUCUCAAACUUGGGAACCAGCCUUGUAGCCUGACAAAAUUACCUGGGAUGGAGCUCAGGACGACUGGCCCUUGUCUUGCUCUGUGACUGUACAUGUCACUUCUCACUUGUCCAUUCAAAAAAAACUCUGGAGAACCUCCUGUCUGCUUGGGCUUCUAAAUCAUGGCAUCUGCCAAAUAGAAGCAUGGAAGGCUUUGCAAAAGAAUUGACAUUUGAUAUGGAUUCUGACAGAAGAAAAGGAGUUCCCUGGGUGGCAUCAGUUCAUCUUCUAUAAGGGACCUGGCAGCAUCUAGCAGUGUGAUCCAGAGCCUGGUGGAGGGCUGGGAAUGCUAGCAGCUCCUCUAAUUUUUACUGCUGUAAACCAAAGGGGUCCCUUUGGCAGUUUCAUAGUCAGGUUUCAGGAGAGACCAGUUUCCCAUACUGAGAAAAAAGACCCCAAGGAGGCUAUAUGCAAGUUCUCUGACUUCCAGGAGCAGCCAGCCCAGGAGCACAGUGGGGCUAUCAGCAAAGCAGGGAUGCUGAUCCAAGUUCAAAUCCCAGUCUUCCCAGGGCCACACUGGGAGCUUUGGAGAAAAUUGCAGAAGUUGGAGUUGGCAUCCGUCAACGUAGUGGGAUGAAACAAAGUGGCAGUCGUGGGCCACCUUGCAUAUGGCCUGCACACAGUAGGCCCUCAGCUAGUGAAGGCUUCUGCAGGUGGGGCCCAUGGAGCCCCAGACUUUGGGCUGAGGGAGGCCCAGGCCUAGCCCAUUAGAGGCUGCUGAGCUCCACAUGGAAACCCCAGCUGGCUGUGGGGCCCAAGGUGUUGUGUGGUGAAGUGGCUUCUGGUCAGUGCCAGCGCACGUCCCUACCAGAUUCAGGACCAGUGGCCCCCCAGUGCCAUGAGAAUACUGUGAAAGCUUCCCAGAGGAGGUGCUAUUUGAUCCCCUUUAAAGGAAUACAUCAAAGCCCUACAGGUUGGCCCAAAGCUGCUGUGUCCCCGUAGACAGUGGAUAAGUAACUUGAAAUUCCCUGUGUCCCAAGCACCUGCUGUGUGCUCAAUCAGGAAAGCAAGUGAUAAGCCGAAAAGACAAGCUGCUCAAAUGGGCAAAGAAUAUGAGUAGGUAUGAAUAGGUAUAUGAAUAUGAAUAGGUUCACCAAAGAGGCAUGGAAAGUGGCUCGGAAAUUGAUUUUUAAAAAGAAUGCUCAGUCCUGCCAAACCUGAAGGGAGAUGCAACUUAAAUCAAGUAGUGUGUGUAUAUAUAUAUAUAUAUAUACACACACACACUGGAAUAGUACUCAGCCAGAAAAAGAGAAUGAAAUAGGGUUUCCCUGGUGGCUCAGUGGUAAAGAAUCUGCCAAUGCAGGAGACAUGGGUUUGAUCCCUAAUCUGGGAAGAUCCCACAUGCCAAGAAGCAACCAAGCCGCAUGAGCCAUAGCUAUUGAAUCUAUGCUCUAGAGCCUGGGAGCCACAAGUACUGAACCCAGAGCCACAACUACUGAACCUGUGUGCCUCAACUACUAAAGCCCAUGCACCCCAGAGCCCACAUUCAGCAACAGGAGAAGCCACUGCAAUGAGAAGCCUGCACACCACCACUACAGAAAAGCCCUCAUAGCAGCGAAGACCCGGCACAGCCAGAAGUGAAUAAAUAGAAUUAUUUUUUAAAUAAAAUGAAGUAA